CAGGUCCCCACAACCACGCUGGCGAAGAGACUGACGUAAUCCUUGACGUCGGCAAACCAAACUUUACCUUUCCUAUAUAUAUAUUAACGCGACCGUGCUGGAUCUUCCUCAACUCGCUAAGAGAAUCACGAAUUUGAUCUGAUAAGCAAGAAGAAAGUUAGACAUGGCUGAACAAGUUGAAAUGCCGCGAGUAAAACUCGGAACCCAAGGACUUGAGGUAUUUAAUAUUCUUUUCUUAAUUCAUUCGAUUUAAUUUGUAAAUCCCAUUUGAAUUUUUGUUUUCGGCCGGAUCCGACGACCAGUGACCUUUGUGAAUCAAAUCUCUGCACAACUUUGCACUUGCGUUUCAUCACGGAACGGAGUGAAUUUUGUGGAUCUCUUACAUAUUUGUCUGGAUACUGGUAAAUAAGCGUACCAAUUUAAUUAUUAAUUUGUCUGGAUACUGAUAAAGAAGUGGAAAAAAGCCAUUAAAACAGCCCACCCUCCAGGCGCCCCUGUUUCCAAGCCUGUUUUUGGGCCUGUCCCAAAAGCAGGGCUGAAAUAAGCACCUAUUUGUCAUCUAUUUUCUCCCAUUUUUUUCAUUAUUUUUUUUACAGAACUUAUUUUCAAUGACAAAUUCUUCAUUAAAAUAACAUUACAGGAUUUUUUUUACCACACAUUUCAACAUCAAUUACUAUUCCACGAUACAUUCUUCCCAAAUCGGUGACAAACACACCCAAGUGUACCAGUUUAAUUAUUAACAUAUGGAAAUAAGGUUCAAGAAAAAUGGACAGAGAAUCUGUUAAAAAGCCUGAUGUAAAGUUAUAGAAAUAUUACUUAGAAUUUGAAGAAAAUCCAAUAUUGAAUCACUUGCAGUUGUUUUCUCAAAGAUGGAACACUCAUUUUUGUCCAAAUACUUUUACAUUGAAUAACACAAGAUUCCCACAAUCCACGAUAAUUUGUAUAGGGAUAUGGGUAAUGGGUGCAAAUUGAUCGGCAAAUUCUGCAACCAUUAAUUAGUUUUCUUCAGAUAAUGUUUUCUUGAAUCUUAUUGCUUCAUCCAGUGAUAUAUAUUUUUUAUGGCAUGGCAGGUAUCAAAGUUAGGUUAUGGUUGUAUGGGGCUUACUGGAAGCUACAAUGUUCCUGUUCCCGACGAGGAAGGAAUUGCAGUAAUCAAAGAGGCAUUUAGUAAAGGCAUUACAUUUUUUGACACAUCUGAUAUUUAUGGCGCGAACAAUGCCAAUGAAUACUUGGUCGGAAAGGUAAUUUCUAAGAUACUUAUUUUAGAUUAAAGCAGCACAUUUGAAUUUAUAUGCUGGCAACAUACUUUUUCUUCUUUAGUGGUUGUAAGAUGAUGGGAACUACAUAUUUAAAUUCCAAUUUCUUCGAUAAACUGCAGCAUGUUAAGGGAUAAAAAUCCCACAUCGAUUAAGUACCGAAAUAUUGAGUAACUUGAAAAGAUCUUGGACUCCUCCUCUUAACAAGGUUGACCUUAUUAAGAUGGACCUCAAAUCUCCAUUAAGCUCCAACCAACGAUUCGAUUCGAUUAUAAGUCUCAAUUAAUGAGCAAUGGAUUGCAAGAUUGGUCUGUUCAAACGAGCCACCAUCUUGCGGGGGCAUAUUAAGGGAUGAAAAUCUCACAUCAGUUAAAUAUUGAAAUAUUGAUCAACUUAAAAAAAAUUUGGACUACUCUUCUUAAUAGGAUUGACUUUAUUAAGAUGGAUCCCAAAUUUUAACACAACACAAGUAUAUGUUAGUAUGGUCCACAAAAAAAAUGGAUUGUAAAUUUAGCUUCUUUUUUUCUGAUUUAAUCUAAUUCCGUGCUGCUUUCAGCACUGAAGCUUCCAAGUCACUGACUUGAAAGUUGUAAUGGUUAUGCUGAACUGUAUAUUACCUUUUUUUUUUCUUCAUAAAUUUAAAUUCCAAUUUUCAUCAUUUAUAUAAAUUAAAGCAUCAAAGUCUGAUAUAUAUGACCAAUUAUAGGUUUUUAGGAUUCUAGGUUUGAUUCAUUUGUAUAGGUUUGUGAUUUGUUUUUCUAGUAUAAAAUCAGGUCUUCCAUUUACUUAUUUGACUCCGCAAUUGUAAUAACUAUAAGAGAAGAGAUCCAAUGGUAAAAAGAAUUAUAGACAUGACAGCUUUCUUGAAUUUAUAUUACAAAGUUUCAAUAUUUGGAGAUGCUAUUCUUUGGAAAGGUGAUAUAAAUUUUGUUUUAAGUUAUUCUUCAGUUAUAUUUAACUUCAGCUUUCAGUAUCGAACCAUGAGAUAACUGUUGAUUGAAAACAACUAAAAGUAACAUAUAAGCAUUUAUUAUCACAUUUGAGUGAACUUACUUAAGACAUUCAAUUGCUGCAGGCAUUAAAGCAGUUACCUCGAGAAAAGGUUGAGUUGGCUACAAAAUUUGGUGUAUUUAAAAUUGGGGGUCCUGAAGUCAUAGUAAAAGGUUCACCUGAAUAUGUCCGUUCUUGUUGUGAGGCUAGCUUGAAGCGUCUUGACGUGGAUUAUAUUGAUCUCUACUACAUACAUCGGAUUGAUCAGACUGUGCCUAUUGAAGAGACGGUUAGUUUUUCUUAUAUACUUUUAUUUGUGAUAUUGUUCUUAUAUAGCCAUUUUGAUUAGUGUCCAUUGACCUCAUUUUCUCUUUUUUGUAUUCGUCUUUCUUAACACGCUUUCUAUAUCACUUAAUAUUACGUCUUGAUGAUAAACUUGUUUAUGAGUUGCAGAUGGGAGAACUAAAAAAGCUAGUUGAAGAAGGUAAAAUAAAAUAUAUUGGGUUAUCUGAAGCUAGCCCAAACACAAUAAGGAGGGCACAUGCAGUUCAUCCUAUUACUGCUAUACAAAUGGAAUAUUCCCUUUGGACUCGUAACAUCGAAGAAGAAUUUAUUCCACUUUGCAGGUUCUAAUUAUUUCUCAAAUAUUUCUAUUAUAAUGCUGAUUGUUCAAAAUAUUACAUUUUAGGCAAAAAAUUUUGGCAAAUCAAAUUUUAAGACGGUGAAAGCAGAUGUUCGAAUCUCAUAUUUAUUUUUUCACGACAUAAAGUACUUGAUGUCAUUCCUUCUUCGACUAACAUUGCAAUGUUCAGUUCCUAUUCUCCAAUAUAAUAGUUCGCGUUUGUGUACUUCUCUUGUUGAUGUGUUAAACUUGUAUUUUUGAUGGGUUAAAUACAGUCUUACUUAGGGUUUUGAUAAUUAUUGCUUUUGAUGAGGAUGCUAAAAGUUCUUUUCUUUCUUUCGAGUGCCCUAAUUCAUCUUUUUUCCAUUACUAUUCAUCAAGUAUGUGUAGUUUUUAUCUUAUCGUUCUCCUCCCUGUUCAAUAAUAAUGUUCUCAUAUAGGAUUUCCUUUUCUUUUUGGAAUGGUUUAUUAGGGAACUUGGUAUCGGAAUAGUUCCAUACAGCCCAGUGGGCCGAGGGUUUUUUGCUGGGAAGGCCAUAGUGGAGAGCUUGCCCCCAAGUAGCAGACUGGUUCGUAUGCUUCCUGUCUUUUAAUUUUAGACAUGUAAACUCUACCUUGGAAUCCAAGAUGAUUUAGUAGUUUCUUCAUUUUAGUUAUCUGUACUUGCUGAAUCGUCGCCUGAUUUUCGUACCAUCAGGCACAUCACCCAAGGUUUACAGAAGAGAACUUAGAUAAAAACAAAGUCAUUUAUUUUCGUAUUGAAGCAUUAGCUAAGAAGCAUGGAUGUACUCCUGCCCAACUUGCGCUUGCAUGGGUUCUUCAUCAAGGAGAUGAUGUUGUACCUAUUCCGGGUAAGCCUGUUCAUAUUUAAUUUGCAUUAAAUAUGGUAGGGUUUGAUGAGAGUUUGGCGUACUUAUUUUGUUAUACUUGAAAUAUUGUGAUUACUUGUCAAUGUUGUCAGAGAUUUUAUGCAAAACCGCAUAGUAAUGGAUAGUAACUAAAACAUUUAUUAUCAUAUUCACUCCAUGGAUUGUUUUUAUUUUAACAGUAACAUGCCAUUCAACUUGCAACAUUGUAGGUACGACUAAGAUAAAAAAUCUCCACGAUAAUAUUGGUUCCGUGAAAGUGAAGCUUACAAAAGAUGAUUUAAAAGAGAUCUCUGAUGCAGUCCCCAUCGAUGAAGUGGCAGGGUCAAAAUCUGACAGCGCUAUUGGUCGGGUCAAUGCGCAAUUUGCCGAUACCCCACCCCCAAAAUGAACAUUGCAAGAUUGUUGAUAAAUCUUUGUAUGUUAUGUUUUCAAAUGUGGGCGUCUGAUAUUUGUAACAAUUUUGUCGUAGACAUAUUGCUACUACUCUUGGUUCAAUAAUGCAAGUAAUGUUUCUCUUCAGUCACUAGGGUUGUAUCAUGAACUAUGAAUUAUCGAUAAAUUAUUAGUAAUUUUUUUUUUAAAGAAUAGUUGGUAGAUAAUUCAGUCAGGCGUGGAUUGCAUAUUUUGGCAUGAUAUAUUACACUUUUGUGUCUAUUUAUAUAUUUGUAAUUAAGGCCAUAUGAUCAAUAAAAAAUCUUUAAACAAGUUCUUCAUAAAUUUUCUCCCGAAUAUGGGUAUUUCAUUUUUGUUUACUAGUGACUGAUGCAACUCAAUACUCAU
Molecule: long non-coding RNA, 4517 nt
Filed under: Olea europaea subsp. europaea
Lineage: Eukaryota; Viridiplantae; Streptophyta; Magnoliopsida; Lamiales; Oleaceae
Source: RNAcentral